AACGAACGGAUAAAGAGCUUGCUCUUUUGAAGUUAGUGGCGGACGGGUGAGUAACGCGUGGGGAAA
This 66-nucleotide ribosomal RNA is filed under the name Brochothrix thermosphacta. RNAcentral describes it as "partial 16S ribosomal RNA". Lineage: Bacteria; Bacillati; Bacillota; Bacilli; Caryophanales; Listeriaceae. The record is from RNAcentral.